Molecule: ribosomal RNA, 207 nt
Filed under: uncultured bacterium
Lineage: Bacteria
Description: partial 16S ribosomal RNA
Rfam family: Bacterial small subunit ribosomal RNA
Source: RNAcentral
CACGUAGGUGGUUUGAUAAGUCGGAUGUGAAAGCCCCGGGCUUAACCUGGGAAUUGCAUUCGAAACUGUCUCACUAGAGUCUAGCAGAGGGAUGGGGAAUUCCGGGUGUAGCGGUGAAAUGCGUAGAGAUCCGGAGGAACAUCAGUGGCGAAGGCGCCAUCCUGGGCUAAGACUGACACUGAGGUGCGAAAGCGUGGGGAGCAAACA